RNAcentral lists this transfer RNA (73 nucleotides) under Stegodyphus mimosarum. It matches the Rfam family "tRNA". Rfam says of the family: Transfer RNA (tRNA) molecules are approximately 80 nucleotides in length. Lineage: Eukaryota; Metazoa; Arthropoda; Arachnida; Araneae; Eresidae. The record is from Rfam by way of RNAcentral.
GCCUUCAUGGUGUAAUGGACAACACACUCGGCGCGUACUUGAGAGAUCCGAGGUUCGAAUCCCGGCUAGGGCA